AGUGAACGCUGGCGGUAGGCCUAACACAUGCAAGUCGAACGGCAGCACAGUAAGAGCUUGCUCUUACGGGUGGCGAGUGGCGGACGGGUGAGGAAUACAUCAGAAUCUACUUUUUCGUGGGGGAUAACGUAGGGAAACUUACGCUAAUACCGCAUACGACCUACGGGUGAAAGCAGGGGAUCUUCGGACCUUGCGCGAUUGAAUGAGCCGAUGUCGGAUUAGCUAGUUGGCGGGGUAAAGGCCCACCAAGGCGACGAUCCGUAGCUGGUCUGAGAGGAUGAUCAGCUACACUGGAACUGAGACACGGUCCAGACUCCUACGGGAGGCAGCAGUGGGGAAUAUUGGACAAUGGGCGCAAGCCUGAUCCAGCCAUACCGCGUGGGUGAAGAAGGCCUUCGGGUUGUAAAGCCCUUUUGUUGGGAAAGAAAAGCAGCAGGUUAAUACCCCGCUGUUCUGACGGUACCCAAAGAAUAAGCACCGGCUAACUUCGUG
This 492-nucleotide ribosomal RNA is filed under the name uncultured bacterium. RNAcentral describes it as "partial 16S ribosomal RNA". It matches the Rfam family "Bacterial small subunit ribosomal RNA", at positions 29 to 507 of the family's 1533-position model. The record is from RNAcentral.